RNAcentral lists this ribosomal RNA (2900 nucleotides) under Klebsiella pneumoniae. RNAcentral's name for it is "bacterial LSU rRNA". It matches the Rfam family "Bacterial large subunit ribosomal RNA". Lineage: Bacteria; Pseudomonadati; Pseudomonadota; Gammaproteobacteria; Enterobacterales; Enterobacteriaceae. The record is from RNAcentral.
UUAAGCGACUAAGCGUACACGGUGGAUGCCCUGGCAGUCAGAGGCGAUGAAGGACGUGCUAAUCUGCGAAAAGCGUCGGUAAGGUGAUAUGAACCGUUACAGCCGGCGAUGUCCGAAUGGGGAAACCCAGUGCAAUUCGUUGCACUAUCGUUAACUGAAUACAUAGGUUAACGAAGCGAACCGGGGGAACUGAAACAUCUAAGUACCCCGAGGAAAAGAAAUCAACCGAGAUUCCCCCAGUAGCGGCGAGCGAACGGGGAGCAGCCCAGAGUCUGAAUCAGCUUGUGUGUUAGUGGAACGGUCUGGAAAGUCCGACGGUACAGGGUGAUAGUCCCGUACACCAAAAUGCACAGGUUGUGAACUCGAAGAGUAGGGCGGGACACGUGGUAUCCUGUCUGAAUAUGGGGGGACCAUCCUCCAAGGCUAAAUACUCCUGACUGACCGAUAGUGAACCAGUACCGUGAGGGAAAGGCGAAAAGAACCCCGGCGAGGGGAGUGAAAAAGAACCUGAAACCGUGUACGUACAAGCAGUGGGAGCACCUUCGGGUGUGACUGCGUACCUUUUGUAUAAUGGGUCAGCGACUUAUAUUCUGUAGCAAGGUUAACCGUAUAGGGGAGCCGCAGGGAAACCGAGUCUUAACUGGGCGUUAAGUUGCAGGGUAUAGACCCGAAACCCGGUGAUCUAGCCAUGGGCAGGUUGAAGGUUGGGUAACACUAACUGGAGGACCGAACCGACUAAUGUUGAAAAAUUAGCGGAUGACUUGUGGCUGGGGGUGAAAGGCCAAUCAAACCGGGAGAUAGCUGGUUCUCCCCGAAAGCUAUUUAGGUAGCGCCUCGUGAACUCAUCUUCGGGGGUAGAGCACUGUUUCGGCUAGGGGGUCAUCCCGACUUACCAACCCGAUGCAAACUACGAAUACCGAAGAAUGUUAUCACGGGAGACACACGGCGGGUGCUAACGUCCGUCGUGAAGAGGGAAACAACCCAGACCGCCAGCUAAGGUCCCAAAGUCAUGGUUAAGUGGGAAACGAUGUGGGAAGGCACAGACAGCCAGGAUGUUGGCUUAGAAGCAGCCAUCAUUUAAAGAAAGCGUAAUAGCUCACUGGUCGAGUCGGCCUGCGCGGAAGAUGUAACGGGGCUAAACCAUGCACCGAAGCUGCGGCAGCGACACUAUGUGUUGUUGGGUAGGGGAGCGUUCUGUAAGCCUGCGAAGGUGUGCUGUGAGGCAUGCUGGAGGUAUCAGAAGUGCGAAUGCUGACAUAAGUAACGAUAAAGCGGGUGAAAAGCCCGCUCGCCGGAAGACCAAGGGUUCCUGUCCAACGUUAAUCGGGGCAGGGUGAGUCGACCCCUAAGGCGAGGCCGAAAGGCGUAGUCGAUGGGAAACAGGUUAAUAUUCCUGUACUUGGUGUUACUGCGAAGGGGGGACGGAGAAGGCUAUGUUAGCCGGGCGACGGUUGUCCCGGUUUAAGCAUGUAGGCUGGUUGUCCAGGCAAAUCCGGAUAAUCAAGGCUGAGGUGUGAUGACGAGGCACUACGGUGCUGAAGUAACAAAUGCCCUGCUUCCAGGAAAAGCCUCUAAGCAUCAGGUAACAUCAAAUCGUACCCCAAACCGACACAGGUGGUCAGGUAGAGAAUACCAAGGCGCUUGAGAGAACUCGGGUGAAGGAACUAGGCAAAAUGGUGCCGUAACUUCGGGAGAAGGCACGCUGGUGUGUAGGUGAAGUCCCUGCGGAUGGAGCUGAGACCAGUCGAAGAUACCAGCUGGCUGCAACUGUUUAUUAAAAACACAGCACUGUGCAAACACGAAAGUGGACGUAUACGGUGUGACGCCUGCCCGGUGCCGGAAGGUUAAUUGAUGGGGUUAUCCGUAAGGAGAAGCUCUUGAUCGAAGCCCCGGUAAACGGCGGCCGUAACUAUAACGGUCCUAAGGUAGCGAAAUUCCUUGUCGGGUAAGUUCCGACCUGCACGAAUGGCGUAAUGAUGGCCAGGCUGUCUCCACCCGAGACUCAGUGAAAUUGAACUCGCUGUGAAGAUGCAGUGUACCCGCGGCAAGACGGAAAGACCCCGUGAACCUUUACUAUAGCUUGACACUGAACAUUGAGCCUUGAUGUGUAGGAUAGGUGGGAGGCUUUGAAGCGUGGACGCCAGUCUGCGUGGAGCCAACCUUGAAAUACCACCCUUUAAUGUUUGAUGUUCUAACGUUGGCCCCUUAUCGGGGUUGCGGACAGUGUCUGGUGGGUAGUUUGACUGGGGCGGUCUCCUCCCAAAGCGUAACGGAGGAGCACGAAGGUUAGCUAAUCCUGGUCGGACAUCAGGAGGUUAGUGCAAUGGCAUAAGCUAGCUUGACUGCGAGCGUGACGGCGCGAGCAGGUGCGAAAGCAGGUCAUAGUGAUCCGGUGGUUCUGAAUGGAAGGGCCAUCGCUCAACGGAUAAAAGGUACUCCGGGGAUAACAGGCUGAUACCGCCCAAGAGUUCAUAUCGACGGCGGUGUUUGGCACCUCGAUGUCGGCUCAUCACAUCCUGGGGCUGAAGUAGGUCCCAAGGGUAUGGCUGUUCGCCAUUUAAAGUGGUACGCGAGCUGGGUUUAGAACGUCGUGAGACAGUUCGGUCCCUAUCUGCCGUGGGCGCUGGAGAAUUGAGGGGGGCUGCUCCUAGUACGAGAGGACCGGAGUGGACGCAUCACUGGUGUUCGGGUUGUCAUGCCAAUGGCACUGCCCGGUAGCUAAAUGCGGAAGAGAUAAGUGCUGAAAGCAUCUAAGCACGAAACUUGCCCCGAGAUGAGUUCUCCCUGAGACUUUAAGUCUCCUGAAGGAACGUUAAAGACGAUGACGUUGAUAGGCCGGGUGUGUAAGCGCAGCGAUGCGUUGAGCUAACCGGUACUAAUGAACCGUGAGGCUUAACCUU